Long non-coding RNA from Oncorhynchus tshawytscha (Chinook salmon), 1518 nucleotides. The record is from Ensembl. NCBI's taxonomy places the organism in Eukaryota, Metazoa, Chordata, Actinopteri, Salmoniformes, Salmonidae.
AGCCCUGAAGAGAGAGAAGUAUGAAAGGGAGACAGAGAUGGGAGAGAGAGAGAGGGAGAGAAAAUAAAGAAACACAUGAAAGGUAGAGAGAGGAAAGAAAGUGGUAGAGAGCCCUGAAGAGAGAGAAGUAUGAAAGGGAGACAGAGACGGAGAGAGAGAGAGAGAAAAUAAAGAAACACAUGAAAGGUAGAGAGAGGAAAGAAAGUGUGGUAGAGAGCCCUGAAGAGAGAGAAGUAUGAAAGGGAGACAGAGAUGGGAGAGAGAGGGAGAGAAAAUAAAGAAACACAUGAAAGGUAGAGAGAGGAAAGAAAGUGGUAGAGAGCCCUGAAGAGAGAGAAGUAUGAAAGGGAGACAGAGAUGGGAGAGAGAGAGAGAGGGAGAGAAAAUAAAGAAACACAUGAAAGGUAGAGAGAGGAAAGAAAGUGAGGUAGAGAGAAAUAUGAAAGGUACAGAGAAGGUGAGAAAGGUAAAACGAAAGAGGGAGGGAAAGUUAGAGGAGGGGUGUGGGGUGCAUUGGAACAAGGAGGCAUUGUGUAGGCCCCUUCUGGUAAAGACUGACAGUCUGAAUUGCACCAUGCUACAGCAGAGUCGUCAAAGCCAUACUAGUCUGCUUCUGUUCACUCUCCCUUGGCCUGUGGCAACCUCAGGUAAGCUCAGAGACAGGGACGAGAAAAAGCGAAAGAAAGAUGGAAGGAAAAAGGGAGCCCUGCCAAUGAUUGUUUUGGCAACCUCAGGUAGGCUCAGGAAGAGGGAGGGAGAAAUGAUGAUAAGAGAUGGAGCUGAUGUAGUAAGAUGAGAAGAACGGGCAGCGGAGAUGAGAAAGGAGGAAAUAGUGAGGAAAAGAAAGGUCCCACUCCUCAGCCUUAUCCCUCCAUUCAAACAGUAAAACCCUGUGACGCUGUCUCUGUCUGUCGUCUGGGUCUUUCUAUCGGUCUGUGUGUGCAUGCACUACGUGUGUGUCUCCAGUGAGCCAAACAAUAAGAGACUCUUAUAGGCUAGCUGCUAGCUGUUCCAACAGGCCUUUUGUGGGGGGGGGAUCUCCCUGGUUAAGUCCUAUUGAACAUGCCUGUGUAUAGGCUUCCCUCAGCCCCUGUUCUUUAAACCCUCGGAGGUGCCACUCUGCCUCUCCACUUGUUGUUCUCUCCUCUGUGAACAGCCCUUCGGGUAAGCCUGUUUAAACCAGGCAAAGCUCUCCCUUUCAGGGCCCACCCACUCCCCCCUUUUUGAAUGGAAAUUCCUUUUCUCCCUUUCUUCCCGCCUGGGCUUCUGAACCUUCCGAAAAGGUAUGUGGUGUAACUGUUAAUGCAUUAAAUUGAUGAAUGGCGACUGUCAGCAUGUGGGUUUAUCUCCCGUGCCCCUCCCCCCCCUCAUCAACUCUUCCCUCCUACCCAUCUCUGAGUGAAAGUGUCCCCUUGCCCACAAGGGUCAGCGGGACAGGCACGCGCUAGCCAAGAGGUCAGUGGGGAGACCAUUGUUUGUGUUUUGCAACACAAAAACCCCUCCUCCCAAUCCUUAUCC